GACUACCGGGGUAUCUAAGCCUGUUUGCUACCCACGCUUUCGUCCCUCAGCGUCAAUCAUCGUCUAGCCGGCUGCCUUCGCUUUCGAGGUUCCUCCCGAUCUCUACGCAUUCCACCACUACACCGGGAAUUCCACCGACCUCGACGUGAUUCUAGUCACCCGGUUUCCAAUGCGCUCUCUCAGUUAAGCCGAGAGGUGUCACAUCAGACCUAAGUAACCGCCUACAGACCCUUUACGCCCAGUGAUUCCGGAUAACAUUUGUCACCUACGUAUUACCGCGGCUGCUGGCACGUAGUUAGCCGUGACUUAUUCGUGGGGUACUCUCCUUGCUACUCCCCCACAAAAGCGGUUUACGAUCCGAGGACCUUCAUCCCGCACGCGGCAUUGCUGGGUCAGGCUUGCGCCCAUUGCCCAAUAUUCCUCACUGCAGCCUCCCGUAGG
This 441-nucleotide ribosomal RNA is filed under the name uncultured bacterium. Its description in RNAcentral is "partial 16S ribosomal RNA". The record is from RNAcentral.